GAUUGCGGGAGAGCGCGGUAGGCGCACCGAAGGCGUAAGUUCUCUGUCCCCGGCCAGGGCGGAGGGCGAUUAUCUCAGGUAAACGGACCGCAAUC
This 95-nucleotide non-coding RNA is filed under the name bovine gut metagenome. RNAcentral describes it as "Glycine riboswitch". It matches the Rfam family "Glycine riboswitch aptamer", at positions 6 to 89 of the family's 94-position model. From Rfam's summary of the family: This family represents the bacterial glycine riboswitch. Glycine riboswitches usually consist of two metabolite-binding aptamers domains with similar structures in tandem. The record is from RNAcentral.